Molecule: ribosomal RNA, 939 nt
Filed under: uncultured Lentimicrobium sp.
Lineage: Bacteria; Pseudomonadati; Bacteroidota; Bacteroidia; Bacteroidales; Lentimicrobiaceae
Description: bacterial SSU rRNA
Rfam family: Bacterial small subunit ribosomal RNA
Source: RNAcentral
CAUUGGGUUUAAAGGGUGCGCAGGCGGAUUGGUAAGUCAGGGGUGAAAUCCCACAGCUCAACUGUGGAACUGCCCUUUGAUACUGUCAGUCUAGAGUAUAGUUGAAGUUGGCGGAAUGUGUCAUGUAGCGGUGAAAUGCUUAGAUAUGACACAGAACACCGAUCGCGAAGGCAGCUAGCUAAGCUAUAACUGACGCUCAUGCACGAAAGCGUGGGGAUCAAACAGGAUUAGAUACCCUGGUAGUCCACGCUGUAAACGAUGAUUACUCGAUGUUGGCGAUACACAGUCAGCGUCUGAGCGAAAGCAAUAAGUAAUCCACCUGGGGAGUACGAUCGCAAGAUUGAAACUCAAAGGAAUUGACGGGGGCCCGCACAAGCGGAGGAGCAUGUGGUUUAAUUCGAUGAUACGCGAGGAACCUUACCUGGGCUCGAACGUAAGAUGACUGUAGGUGAAAGCUUACAUCUCUUCGGAGCAUUUUACGAGGUGCUGCAUGGUUGUCGUCAGCUCGUGCCGUGAGGUGUCGGGUUAAGUCCCAUAACGAGCGCAACCCCUACCUUUAGUUGCCAUCAGGUCAUGCUGGGGACUCUAAAGGAACUGCCUACGCAAGUAGUGAGGAAGGCGGGGAUGACGUCAAAUCAGCACGGCCCUUACGUCCAGGGCUACACACGUGCUACAAUGGCCGAUACAGAGGGCAGCUACCUGGUGACAGGAUGCAAAUCUCCAAAGUCGGUCUCAGUUCGGAUCGGAGUCUGCAACCCGACUCCGUGAAGUUGGAUUCGCUAGUAAUCGCGCAUCAGCCAUGGCGCGGUGAAUACGUUCCCGGGCCUUGUACACACCGCCCGUCAAGCCAUGGAAGCUGGGGGGACCUAAAGUCGAUAACCGCAAGGAGUCGCCUAGGGUAAAACCAGUGACUGGGGCUAAGUCGUAACAAGGUAGCCG